This 443-nucleotide ribosomal RNA is filed under the name uncultured bacterium. RNAcentral's name for it is "partial 16S ribosomal RNA". It matches the Rfam family "Bacterial small subunit ribosomal RNA", at positions 338 to 795 of the family's 1533-position model. The record is from RNAcentral.
CCUACGGGAGACAGCAGUGGGGGAUAUUGGACAAUGGGGGAAACCCUGAUCCAGCGACGCCGCGUGAGUGAAGAAGUAUUUCGGUAUGUAAAGCUCUAUCAGCAGGGAAGAAAGAAAUGACGGUACCUGAGUAAGAAGCCCCGGCUAACUACGUGCCAGCAGCCGCGGUAAUACGUAGGGGGCAAGCGUUAUCCGGAAUUACUGGGUGUAAAGGGAGCGUAGACGGUAAUGCAAGUCUGGAGUGAAAGGCGGGGGCUCAACCCCCGGACUGCUCUGGAAACUGUAUGGCUGGAGUGCAGGAGAGGUAAGCGGAAUUCCUGGUGUAGCGGUGAAAUGCGUAGAUAUUAGGAGGAACACCAGUGGCGAAGGCGGCUUACUGGACUGUAACUGACGUUGAGGCUCGAAAGCGUGGGGAGCAAACAGGAUUAGAUACCCGGGUAGUC